RNAcentral lists this long non-coding RNA (1234 nucleotides) under Strigops habroptila (Kakapo). Its description in RNAcentral is "lncRNA (ENSSHBG00005005345.1)". Lineage: Eukaryota; Metazoa; Chordata; Aves; Psittaciformes; Psittacidae. The record is from RNAcentral.
UCCCAAAGUCAGACAUCCAGACAUAUCCAGGGAAAACAAAGGGCCCGUGAGAGGGAGCACAGCAAAAGCCUGUGAGAUGGGGGUCUUCAAAAGCAAACCAGUGGGGAUUUACAUUAAGAUGUUGCUCAGGCCUACGAGCCCUCUCCUGGAGCUGGGUGCUUAAGGCAUUGCAGGCACCUUUUUAAAUGGGGAAAGCAGAGAGAUCUUUGUGAUGAGCCCUGCAUGACAGUGAGAGGUUUGCCUCAGAUACUGGAUGUAUGGGGACUUGGUGAUGGCAGGAGCAAGGUGCUGGUGCCCUUCUCCCCAGGUUAGGCACCUUGGGGCGAGUGGGAGGGCUGCCAAUGUCAGUAUUGGUGCUAGACCUGCAUGCUUAGUCCUUAAAUUUAUCUGAAUUUCAGGUCAAUUUAUUUUGAACUGCUUUGCAAAGGACUGGGGUGGAUGACAAAAGCUGCAUGGAAGCUAGAUACUGCGAAUCAACAUUUAGAUACCAGCCUGUAUACCUGCUUUGACGAAACUGUCCCUAACAUGUAAACAUUCCAUCUUUUCACGAGGCUGGAAUACCUCUUCAAAUAAAAAGCAGCCAUGCUGGCAAACGGUCUUCAAAGGUAGCGAAAUAAUCCCUAAGGGGAGAUCUGCUUUUGUGAGGAAUUCCCCAGCAGACGGCUGGGAGAUCUUAACAAACAAGUCCUUUUAAACUGCCAUGUACUUUGAAGCCUGAGUGAGCAUUCAUUCAUUUGGCACAAAAAGCAACAGUGAAGAGGGGGGUGGAAAGGCUCAGUCAAGGUGAAAACGAAGUUGAGUCUUUACCCAAAGCCAUUGUGGGUACAAAUGAAUUGCUUCAGUGGAGGUAAUAAAAGAUAUGUUAUCCCACAUUUAAUAAAAAGCAACAGUGAAAAUACAAAGAGCUCAUUUCAGGCUUCAGUUAUCAGAUGUUUAUUGCACACAGCCCUUUCUACUGGGAUGGAGACCCAAGAAGUGUAUUGCCUUUGAAGUGGGCUGUGUGGCCAGUUGCCCAUUGGCUGUUUUAUGGCUAAAUCUGCUUAAUAUGAUCCACUUUCAUCUUUCCAGUGGCAGAGCGCUCUGCAGAGGGAAGAAGGCAGACAGGCUUCUGGAUGAGCCUCCGGAUAUCCACUGAGGACAGAGCAAACCAGGGAGCACUUCACCCUGGAGUGUAGGUAGAAAGGAGGAUGCAGGGUGAAGCAGAGGCUGAGCUCAGUGAGAUGCAGAGCACACU